Molecule: long non-coding RNA, 836 nt
Organism: Rhincodon typus (whale shark)
Lineage: Eukaryota; Metazoa; Chordata; Chondrichthyes; Orectolobiformes; Rhincodontidae
Exons: 4
Source: RefSeq, a predicted model, not a curated record
UCGGCAUUUUUUUCCCAAGCCGCCGGUGGUCAGUCUCCCCUUUGUCUGAUCUGCAAACAAUGAGUAGCAGGCGGACAGGAAGGAGUGAGAGAUAGGGCGGUGGAUGCGCGGGAAGGUUCCGCAGACGUCUUGGGAUGGUUUCAGGAGAUUUGCAGAUGAGCCGCGCAAACCAAACAUCACGUCAAAAUCCGACAGAAUCACUCAGUUCAGAUGGACUAGGACGUUAGCAGCUUUUUAGUGUUACAUUUUGGGAUCUGGCCUGUCCAGUAGGAACAUCAGCUGGGAUUAUAAUAAGUGCUUCUGCCAUCCUUCUGGCUGCAGGCUCCAGCAGGACAUUGUAAAACUUCAGAGGUUUCAGCAGAUAUUGAAUAUCCCAGUGUAGAAGGUGAUGUUUGAGCUUCCUGAACAACUGCAGUGUGUGUGGUGAAGGUUUUCUCACAAUGCUGUUGGGUAAAAAGUGAUGAUGCAGGAACAGUGAUGUACAUACAAAGAACAGCAACUUGAAUUUAUAUAGAACCUUUCACAUAAUAGAAUGUGCCAAGGCUGUUCACAGAAAUUUCAAAAAGCAACAGUUGACAAAGGACCACAUGGUGAUCUUGGGUCAGGUGACCAAAAUCUGGGACACAGAGGGAAGUUUUAAGGAUUAUUUUAAAUUAGGAAGAUGAGGUAGAGGUUUAGGGAUGAUUCCAGAGCUCGUGGCCUUGCUAACUGAAGACCAGUAGUGAUGAGAUUAAAAUUGGGAAUGUUCAGGAAGACAGAACAAGAAGAAUUGAGACAUCUCAGAGGCUGGAGGAGGUUACGGAUAUGGAGGGGGGGUGGGGGGUGUCGUGAGGCUG